UUGGACCUGAUAUCAGGCAAGAUUACCCGCUGAACUUAAGCAUAUCAAUAAGCGGAGGAUGAGGG
Molecule: ribosomal RNA, 65 nt
Filed under: Phytophthora infestans (potato late blight agent)
Lineage: Eukaryota; Oomycota; Peronosporomycetes; Peronosporales; Peronosporaceae
Description: partial 28S ribosomal RNA
Rfam family: Eukaryotic large subunit ribosomal RNA
Source: RNAcentral